Molecule: transfer RNA, 136 nt
Filed under: Nonomuraea muscovyensis
Lineage: Bacteria; Bacillati; Actinomycetota; Actinomycetes; Streptosporangiales; Streptosporangiaceae
Description: tRNA-Leu
Source: RNAcentral
GGGUGACGAGCGGUCAACCACGGUCACUCACGACCUCGCUGACAUCCCCUGCGACCAGCAACGCCCUGCAAGAGGGACCGUGAUCGAUGCAGUUCCCAAGCUGACAGCGCGGGUUCGAUUCCCGUCACCCGCUCCA